GACGAACGCUGGCGGCGUGCUUAACACAUGCAAGUCGAACGGAAAGGCCCUGCUUUUGUGGGGUGCUCGAGUGGCGAACGGGUGAGUAACACGUGAGUAACCUGCCCUUGACUUUGGGAUAACUUCAGGAAACUGGGGCUAAUACCGGAUAGGAGCUCCUGCUGCAUGGUGGGGGUUGGAAAGUUUCGGCGGUUGGGGAUGGACUCGCGGCUUAUCAGCUUGUUGGUGGGGUAGUGGCUUACCAAGGCUUUGACGGGUAGCCGGCCUGAGAGGGUGACCGGCCACAUUGGGACUGAGAUCCGGCCCAGACUCCUACGGGAGGCAGCAGUGGGGAAUAUUGCACAAUGGGCGGAAGCCUGAUGCAGCAACGCCGCGUGCGGGAUGACGGCCUUCGGGUUGUAAACCGCUUUCGCCUGUGACGAAGCGUGAGUGACGGUAAUGGGUAGAGAAGCACCGGCUAACUACGUG
Molecule: ribosomal RNA, 468 nt
Filed under: uncultured bacterium
Lineage: Bacteria
Description: partial 16S ribosomal RNA
Rfam family: Bacterial small subunit ribosomal RNA
Source: RNAcentral